ACACACACAUGCAGGGCUUCCAGUUUCUUUCCAUGUUGUGUGUUUGGCCCUUGUCCCUGCCUCAGUCUUUCUCGUCAGUUUCUAAUUGGAAAGAACAGGCUCCCUAAGCAAAGCCACAUGCCUGAUUGUAACGAGUGACAUUCAGGCACGUGUGUUUGG
This is a non-coding RNA of Danio rerio (zebrafish), 159 nucleotides long. The record is from RefSeq and is a predicted model, not a curated record. Lineage: Eukaryota; Metazoa; Chordata; Actinopteri; Cypriniformes; Danionidae.